CCAACGGCCCCUUUUCAGGGCCACAGAAAAUUCCACUCAAAAGUUGAU
Molecule: non-coding RNA, 48 nt
Organism: Aedes albopictus (Asian tiger mosquito)
Lineage: Eukaryota; Metazoa; Arthropoda; Insecta; Diptera; Culicidae
Source: Rfam